AUCAUAACCUAAAAUUCAUGAUUCUUGCACAAGUGUUAAUUUCAGUUUGUCCAUUUAAUCUGUAAAAUUAAAUGUGAUCCAAAAAUGUAAGACCUUGAGAUUCAGGAUCCAGAACUGUUCUGCUGAAAGCAGAGGUUCAGUUUCUAGAAACAAACCUAGUGGUCCUCUGAGGUAAUGCAGUUACAGCAUCGGCAUGCGUUGCUUAAAAGGAUGACGGUAUCGAGUCUGAGUUGAGGUUGUCGGUGCAACUUUGUAGUCCUGUUAAACGGUGAGCCAAGAUCUUUUUUUUAUAAUAAAAAGAUGAUGUUUUCAAAUUGGAAAUUCUGGGAUCAGGAUCAUAUUUGAUAAUCCCCCAUAGGGCAAUUUUUAAAUUGUUAAAGGUUUAGGUUGUCAUCUAUGGUUAUGCAUCAGUGGAGAUUUGUGCAUUUUGAGUGCAACCUUUAAAUACAGUACUCGCUUUAAAUCUUAUGUUUUUGAUCACGAGAGAUACAUUUUUGUGGAUGUGACUUAUAGCAUUCUGUAUUUGCUGGGGGGUUAAAGAUGCACAUGCUAAUGAGAACCUGUGAUUUGGUUUUCAGCAUGGAAUAACGCUGUAAUAUUAAACGCAUCCAUGUGAGGCUAAAGUGUGUGUUUGAUGCAAGUUUUGCAUUUACAGUAGACUGUAGCUGGAGUCUGGUGUUUGGGGGGGGGGGAAGGAAUCUGGUUUUUAAUCUCAACUCUAUUUCUGAUGAAUGGAGGAUGAGGAAUCUGUACAGAAAUGGGUAGUGUUUACACUGUAAGCUAAUUGCACUCUAUUUGCUAGAGCAAUAGUGCAGCCAGCUACCAGGGAGUAGGCAGGGCUUUUAGUAACAAUAGCAAUGGAAAAUAUUUCUCGUGUUGGGUCAUUUAAAGUUCAUUGUCAGCUAAUGCAGUCGUGCAAUAGGAGUGCAGGGGAGUGCUAGACUGUAAAGUAGGCAGCUAUUAUUUUGGCCAUCUUGUCACACACAGAGGGCUCAGGAAUGUAAGGCAUUUGCUUGGAGAAAUUGUCGGACCUUAUGGCCUUUUCUGGAGGUGCCAACUUACUGUCUAUGUUCCUGCUGGAAGAGAAGCUGAGUGGGUAGAAACAUAAAGGAGGGAAAAGCUUUUAAUUGCAUUCUGAUGAAAGAUCCCCUAAAAUGCCGCCGAUCCUAAUGCUCUUCCACUGCCUGGCUUUUUUUGUUUUAUCUACGACACAACCAAAAAAUCCUCGACAUGUCUCCAAACAAGUGUUGAUAACUGCAGAACUAUGUUGAGCAUUCUGGCCGUGCAGUUGUGGCCUAUAACAGUUUGUAGAAACAGGAGGCCUCAUUUUCUAAGGUUUAGUCACAGGUAAGGAAAGGUACAGACAUACCAGCUCCUACCCUGUGGAAAUGUUUAACACACGGAGAAGUUCACCUCUCCACAUUUCCAUGCCUGUUAAUUACUCCAGGACUUGUCCUGAAUGAGCAGCUACGUGACCCACAUUCCCAUGGCUUCAGUGACUAGGGCUUAAAGGGACACUCGGUCCUCCUAAACCUGCCUAUAAAAGUAUCGUUUCCGAGUAUUAAUUGUUAAUCUGCAGAAUUGUAGAUUGAAGCACUGAAGCCUGGUUUUGGUCUGGUGUACAUGACUGUGUUUGUGUUUCUUUAGAUGCGCUGGUACCCUACUCCCUCUGAGACUUCCCAGCCUGGAUGGAAGUCCCGGCAGUUUUGUUAGAUAUUUAGCCUCUGGAAGCCACACCUUUGUCCAGCUGAAGUGAGGUUUGCCAAGCUCUGCAUUAAUUUAAUCAGUUUAUUUAAUGGACAAAUGUGCAUUACUAUAAGCAAACAGUAUUUAUAUCUCCUUCCGAUUGUCUCUGGGGGAGCCUGAGUUAAGACCAGUUUGCUGUCGACAAUCUGAGCUUAUCCUUGGCAACUAUUGUGGUACCAUCUUAGCACUUCAAAAAAAAAAACCUCAUGCAAAACCUUUUCAAACUCCAUGGCUCAUAAUUGCUGAGGAAAAUUGAUGCAUUGAAGCAACUGUUGUUAAGCUAGUCCUUCCCUGAGUUACCGCUGCUCCUGGGAGGUUUAGAAGCGUUAUAAGUGAUUGCAUGUUAAAGUCUUUUUGGCAUGAAUUUAGAACGCAGAGUUCUGUGUAUCCUAAUUUUCUUAGUGUAUGUGUUGCCGCUUUUCCUUGGCCUAGACAGCGAAAUGUUUUGUUUAUCUGUAGAACCUUGGUCUUACCUCUGUGAAAGCUAGGCUGUUGUGUAAAUGGCUUAUCUCGCAUGGACCUUGUGAAUGCAUCCCUAUGUUCUGACAAUCCCAGUCCUUAUGAUCAUAUCAAUGUUUGUCAUUAUUUGAGUAAAGGAAAGUACAAAUAUUUUUGUACUUUUUGCAUAAUGUAUAUUUAUGCAUUUUUGUGCAACUAAAUAAUGAACCUGUAUAAGUUGUAUGUUUAGUCGUCUCUUGUGUUUUUGGUGUUUUUGAGCCUAUAAUCCUGUUGAAGUAGUUUUAAAGAAGAAAAAGUGCAAUUUGUUUAAAGGGGAAGUGGGUAUCUGUCAAAACAUGGAAGUAUUCUGAACGUGGCUUGUGCCAUUCUGCUAAAAUGAGAUUGCUGUAAAAUGAUCUGUCAGAAUGUGAAACUGGACUACAAACAAAGGGUUGCUUUUUUGGGGGGGGUGGGGGCAUUUUGAAAUGGGAAGCAGGAUUAGACUGAUGGAGGAAUUUAGUUUGUGGUUUAGAACCUGUUUGUCUUUGUAUCUGCUGUGCAUAAGAUGUAAAAAAUGAUAAUCCCAUCUUAUGAAUAAAAAGUGAAUGCAUAUAUCUGGACAUCUGUCAUUUCUCACAGAGUCAAGUCGGUCGCUAAAGUUAAACGCUCCAACGCUAUGCUAACUCAAAGAAACAUCAGAUGUUGGCAUCAAUAAUUCAUACGAACUUUUCAUUUGUGAUGCACCACUGCAUUAAUGUCUGUUUGCGUCAUAUGUGGAGCUGACCUCCACACUCUGCCUUCAUUAGCUGCUAAAAUGCUCUGCUCAACCUACCGUGAUGGAUCCUCCAGGGACUCUUAAGCAACUCUUCUCAAUAUGACCAGCUGCCUAAUUGAAGUGGUGCUGGUGGUAACUAUUUAUAUUUGACAAUAUUGUGCUAAUUAAGCGACAGUGCCAUGAAAAAGUAUUUGGCCUUUGUUUGUUUGGGGGGGGCACAUUUGUCACACUAAAUGUUUCAGACAAUCAAAGGAAAAUUUAAUACCAGGUAAAUAUGACCCUAAUAAAUACAAAGUGCAGUUUCUAAAUGAUUUUUAAGUGAAAAAAGCUUUUACAAACAUUCCCUGGACAUGUCAAAUGUGAUAGACUCCCAUUGUUAAAUGAAGAUUUUGUUUUAUUAUUUUCAAUGGCCACACCCACGUCAAAUUACUGCCAGACCUUCUGAACCAAGUCAAAAAUCAAAAAUCCCUUAAAUUGGAACCUGUCUGAUAAAGUGAAGCAGGUUAAAGCAAACAAACGCAUUAUGCUACGAUCUAAAUGAAUGACCAGUAGUCAUUGAUGCCUGUCAGUCUGUAAAGGGUUACAAAGCAGUUUGUAGGCUUUGGGACUCAAUAAGCCACGGUAAGGGCAAUUAUCAACGGAUAAAGAAAACUGGCGAACUGAACUUUUUGAAAGGUUUGAGUUCUGCUCUGGUAUAAAAUUAGCAUAUUUUACAAAACAUCACAAAAACGUGGUGGUAGUGUGACUGUCUGAGGCUGCUUUGCCGCUUCCUGAAGGAGAAUAUCUGGCCAUCGCUUCAAUCAUUGAAGCUCAAGCACACUUGAUUUGCAGCAGGACGACGAGUCAAAACAUACGGUCCACAUGUGGAUGGUUCAAAAGUAAGUUUUUGGUGUGGCGUAGUCAAAGUCUGGAGUUGAACCUAAUGAAAUGCCGUUUGUGAUAGAAAACCCUCCAGUGUGUCUGAAUGAAUUCUCUAAAGAAAAUUGGGCCAAAAUUCCCCAAGUGAUGUCAAAGACUCAUCGCCAGUUAUCACAAAUGUUUUCCUGCAGUUCUUGCUGACAAGGGUGGAAGAACCAUUUGUUGGGUUUUUCAUGUAAGCCCAGCUAAGUUUG
Molecule: long non-coding RNA, 4071 nt
Organism: Haplochromis burtoni (Burton's mouthbrooder)
Lineage: Eukaryota; Metazoa; Chordata; Actinopteri; Cichliformes; Cichlidae
Exons: 2
Source: RefSeq, a predicted model, not a curated record